AAGUUUUAGUAGAUGUUUUCACAAACUAAUGUGUGUUUCAACAGGUUUGAUAACAUUUGGUGCAAAUGAGAUGUAACACGAAUAAUUCAAAGUAAGUUUGAGAAGCCAUACACGAGUUGGAAAAAAACAGACCUGCUGUCAUGGAUAUGUGGUUUGGCGAAUUUAAGGGUGAGAGUGCAGUCACCUACACAGGCUGAGUUAUUCAUUGUGACGCACCAAAGAAAAGAUCAUUCAGGAUUCGUUGACAGUAGAUCCGAUGAAACUUAUGUUGACUUCCAGAUGCGGCAAGCAUCAUCACAAUCAUCAGCAGUUGGCCCGACAGAAGAUAGUGACGCUGCUGGACAGCCCUCGCAGCCAGCUUUUAAUGAGACAUCAUUAUAGUUGGAGGUUGCAGGUGGGAAAAAUAAGGGCCGUGUGUAUGGGAUGGGGUCAGAAGCACAUGUCAUCCCUGGUUCCUAUCAUAUGUUGUCACCACUGCCACUGCCUCCACAGUCAUCAAUUUCACUCGCAGAACAAAUUCAACAAGCUAUUAGCUGCACUAAUAGUGCAGCUAUAGAACCAUUUCACCAUUGUUUGUUAGCUAUAGAAGAAAGAUUUCAUAACCCUUCUUCAUU
Molecule: long non-coding RNA, 614 nt
Organism: Diospyros lotus (date-plum)
Lineage: Eukaryota; Viridiplantae; Streptophyta; Magnoliopsida; Ericales; Ebenaceae
Exons: 3
Source: RefSeq, a predicted model, not a curated record